This 769-nucleotide long non-coding RNA is filed under the name Solanum tuberosum (potato). RNAcentral describes it as "long non-coding RNA (STUB_LNC004942)". Lineage: Eukaryota; Viridiplantae; Streptophyta; Magnoliopsida; Solanales; Solanaceae. The record is from RNAcentral.
CUGUUUACAAUAGUAUUUUUGCAUUCAUUUACAUAUAUCUCUAAAUAAAAUAUCUCGUCUGCUUAAUAUGGCUAGGGCUAACUUUGACGUUCAGAUUUUUGGCACUUUCUUCCCCUACUUUGGAAUUUCAGCUGUAAGAACCCCAAAGUAAUCAAUUCCUUCUAAACACAAAACAAAAAUUCAAUCAAUUGACUGUUUUUAGUACUAGAUGAUUAGUAGAGAAUAAAAAGGAAUCUCGGCUGUACGAAAUCGGUACUUACGCUCAAAAAAAUUGGAAUAGGAGAAUAAAAAGGAAUCUCAGUUCUUCAGCUUCCUCUCUUCAGUUCUUCAAUCUUCGGUUCUUCGAUCCCCAGUUUUUUAGCUUCAGCUCUUCAUCUCUUCGAGAAAAUCGGGUUCUGGAGAAGAGAAUCUUCAGCUCAGCUCUUCAGUUCUUCAGCUUCCUCUCUUCGAUCCUCAGUUCUGGAGAAAAGCUUGUUCUACAGACAAAGAGUAAAGCGUAUGUUCUAGGAAAGAAGAGAGUAAAGUAUAUGUUCAGAUAGGAAAGAAGAGAAAUAGAAAAGUUUUUAUUAAUGUUUUAUUAAUUAUUUUUUUUGGACAAUAAAAAUGGGAGGGAGAGUUGAAAAUGUUGGUGGGAAUAUAAUUUUUUAGUGAAAAAUUUUAGGCCACACUUUUAAUGUGUUGUUUUUACAAUUAUAAAAAUAGGACACUUUAAAAGUGUGGCCAUAUAUGUAAAUAGUUGUUGCCAUUUAUUUCAUACUAUGACAACGCU